Biomphalaria glabrata is the source of this 689-nucleotide long non-coding RNA. RefSeq lists it as uncharacterized. The transcript is spliced from 2 exons. The record is from RefSeq and is a predicted model, not a curated record. NCBI's taxonomy places the organism in Eukaryota, Metazoa, Mollusca, Gastropoda, Planorbidae.
ACUGAAGAGGUUUUUUUCGAAAUUGAGAUAGCGAUUGAUUUAGAUAGUAGAUAGCAUCAAAGUUAGUUCCUAAAAAUUUGAGAUUUUAGAAAAGCGUAUUUAUAUUAGAAAAAGUAAUUUGAAAGUGUAAAAAAUAACGAGAUUUGAAAAUUAGCUUCAAUGGCCGAAACCGGAAGUGACGUAUUGUAAUGGACUGAGAAAAUGUAAAUAAAAAUAGACAUGGCUGGAUACGUUAUUGAUAGCGAUUCAGAUGAUAAACUUAUCUAAAUCUAGCUGUCCAACAAUUUUAAAUGAUACUUAUCAUGGGAUGCACCAAAAUGCCCUGAAGAGAACUCUUCUACUUUUUCAAAAUAUAUUCUAGAGCAGACUAUUGAAUUAAUAUAAUUAUAGAUAGAUUAUAAUAGGACUAGUCACUAGUUUUGUCAGUUUUGAUCUAUUUUUUCUAUCUAGAUCUAUAGAUCUAGUCUACUCUACUCUCUAGCUAGUAGUAGUCUCUAGUAUCAUCAAGUACUAGUAGAUCAUCUAGGACUAGGUCUAGAAAACAUAUAUGACAUGUGGCAUACAGACAAGUUUACUAGAUGGAUCUUUCAUCAUUUUGGAAAUACAAUAUUUCCUGUGAAACAAAUCACAGAAACAUUCUACAAUUUUAUUUUAUAUAAUAAAUACCAAUAAAUGUAAAUACAAAAUCA